UGGCCAUCACAAGGAAUACGAUGCAACCUUAUUAUAUAUAUUUUUAAAAUUAAUCAUUAUUAAAUAAAAUAUGGUCAAUAGAAAUUUCCAAUAUAUUUUAAAUUAAUAAAUUCUAAUUACUUUAGUUGAAUAAUUAAACCCAGAAAGAUAGUGACCGAUUAUAAAUAGAAGCCGAAUAUAAAUUUGCUCGAAAAAUUAAAU
This 201-nucleotide long non-coding RNA is filed under the name Lathyrus oleraceus (garden pea). Its description in RNAcentral is "Pisum sativum (pea) long non-coding RNA (PSAT_LNC026380)". Lineage: Eukaryota; Viridiplantae; Streptophyta; Magnoliopsida; Fabales; Fabaceae. The record is from RNAcentral.